RNAcentral lists this unclassified non-coding RNA (205 nucleotides) under Hevea brasiliensis (rubber tree). Lineage: Eukaryota; Viridiplantae; Streptophyta; Magnoliopsida; Malpighiales; Euphorbiaceae. The record is from RNAcentral.
GACUUACUCAUCCUCCCCUGUCGUCGUACUCUUUUUCUUCUUGCUUCUUGUCUCUGCAGCUUCAGGCCGCGGAGUUCCUGCAGCGACUGCUGCAGAUAAGAAAGUGGACAAGGAGUGCCUUGACCAGGAGGGGAGUGUUCUUAUCCCCGGGAUCGGGCGCUACAUGAAAGGCAGCCAUGAGGGCAUUCCUUCCUUUACUGACUUA